GAGAGGAGAGGAGAGGAGAGGAGAGGAGAGAUCUCUUGUCUCAGGAAUCACUGGGCUGGCAUGGCUUCAUCAAUUUAAGGCUUCCUUAUGACUGGAUUUGGGAAGUUCUCAUAUAGCAGGUUUCAUUCCCUUAGUUUAAGCUUGCGUUACUGUGUGGGUGAGGUGCUCCAAGUAUUGGGUAACCCAUAAAAAGAGUCAGUCUUUUGCAGAUGAAGGAUCUAACAGUGAAGGGAGUUAGUUCACCAGCUGGAGACCUUCCUAAGCCACAGAUUUCCUGUGUUACAUUGGAGAAAUCUACUAUUUGUGUUUCAGUCCUCAGUAUGCAAAAGUCGGAGGGUGCUACUUCACGCAAAAGACAUGUCAGGAGGGCAACAGGCAGAGCUGAGGUGGGAAGGGGAUCUGUCCUGCUGUUGUAGGUGUUUCUGCAUCCAGGCUGGGUGCAUGAAGCAUCAUCGCAGGAGCAGGACCCAGCUCAGUAGGAUCUUAAUGUGAAGGCCAUGUUGGUGGGACAUCAAGGACAACAUCCACUGAGUUUGCUGAGGAAGAAUGUUGCUGGAUGAUUGCACCCAUGGGAAGGGAAGACUAAGAGGUGAGAGUCUGUCUACAGGAAAGAAGUGAGGAGAAACACAGAUAAUAGCUUGGAGAUGGAAGAAAAGGUCAGAGGAUGUCCACUGGGAGAUUUUGGUGUCUGCUCUCAGCCACUGGUGGGUGAGGGACCCCAAAAACCUGGCAUGGUUGCACCCCAGCAAGCUUCCCAUCUGGGAGACAGGGCCAGCUUUUGUCCUGUGCCCAGCCUGGGGGCACAGCACUGGUAUUGUCCCAGGACUGCCUGGGAAAAUGGGAGGGGUUCCCCAUGAAACCUUUCCAUAGAGCAAAACAGCGUCAGAGCUGGGAAUGGGGGGGUCAGGGCAGACACCAGAAAAAACACACACACAACGGGCAAACAAUACCGGCAGUGUGCUGAGGGAAAGGGAGACCCAUGAAUUGGGAGUUUGAUAAGGAUUUUCUCCCGCGCGCACCCGCUCUCUCAACAGCCCCUUCAGUUUUUCUGGCACCCCCCUCCUUCCCCUUGCCUGCUUGCUUGUUUGGGCCUCAAACAGUGCGCUGCCUUUGUUCGGGAUACAGGUGAACGGCCAUCAUGUGAUUCACGCACACGCGCGCGCGCACAUAAAAAGGUUUUUCAGAGAGCCCAGUUCGUCUCAGACCCAAGGACGGGAGACCCGGGCUGGGAGCAGCAGGGAGAGCACCCUGUCUCAUGGAGGUUGCCUGAGUGUGAUGCUCAAGGGAAAAGCAGAGAGGAGCAAAGACAGAGGCCAACAUUUCAUGAUGAUGCUCAGAAAAUAUAUGGGUCUGUGGCUGGCCUCACUCGUGAGACAUCAUGGGACUUGAUUUAUGGCAGCCUGGAUGAGAUCAGGACCUUAUUUUUGCUGGGGCUCCCAACGCCAGCCUCAUCUUUGCCACUUCCUUGUGCCUCGCUCUCAAAUGCCUCCCUGACCUAAUGUCACCGAGCAACCAGUAUGAAGGUAGAUUUGAAGGCCUUUCCAUAAACAGGAGAAGCAAAGGGACCCUACAUCCCUCGGAGCUGAGCAUGGGAAACACUGCUGGGUUCUGGUCAUCAUCACACCUCAUAGGUUUUGGCUGAAGCUCCCAAUACUGAACCUAGACAUUCCUGGGUGACUCUUGACUCUCCCCAUCAAGAGACUCAGUGGGGCAGCCCGAAGAAGAAGGAGAUGGCACGGGUGACACAGAAAAAUCAGAGAGCUGCCUGCAACCCACUCUGUGUUUAGCAGCACUGUACCAGGAGGCACAUCCAUGCAGCUGCAGGAUAGUUAGCUGUGUUCCCCACACUGCUGGGGAGCCAAAGGAACACAGAAUUGAUCAUUGCAUGGUGGGGUUGUUUUUUUGCUCCCUCUCUUAAAUCCAGUGUCCUGUAUGGGUGGUGGCUGCCUUCGUCGAGGUUGUUGACAAGGGGUGGGUGAUGCCAGUGGAAUGUGGCCCUAUUUUUCAUCACCCCAAGACAAGAGUUCUAGGGAAACUUUUCCUAAAUCUCAACCUUGGGGGUGCAGGAACCCUCUUGGAAAGCAGAGAGGGCAAGCACCUCAGACCAUCACAAGGAUCCCAGGCAGCUCCUGGCCCAAUAUCUGAUCCAUUCCUUCAUGAGUGUGGGGAGAACUGAUAAUGGUAAUACUAUGCAAGUCCUCAUUGUCCCUGAGACAAUUUCCUACAUUACCAGGGCCUGGGAAGAUCAAAGAGUAGCAAGGCCUGGCAGAUCUGUCUGCUACCUGCUUUGAUGGGUGGCAGACUGUUAACCCCUCACCUCCUAACCAAGAAGCCAGGUGUAAUUCCAAAAAGCAAAUCCCAAAAAGCAAGUACUGAAGGAAUGAGGAGAUGGGGGAGAAAGUUUCAUGUUAGGUGGAGUCUUCCAUGUUCAGAGUGAUACAACAGAUGCAACUGAGUGCUCUUUGACUGUAUGAUCAAGGAGGGAUGCCCAGGGGGAAAAAGAAGAAAUGAAUACUCCUAAAUAUGUGUGGGCAGAAUGACCAGAAAAGAAGACUCUCUCAUGGGGUCUUUUGGUUGUAACAGUGCUGGGUGACCCUGAUGGACUCAGUCAGUGGAGGCCAAGGUAACUCUGGGAAGACUUUCAGCUCCAACAACCCAGUGGCAGCAGGGAGGCUCUUGGGGAGCCGGGGGAAGGGUUAAAUCAGGAAGGCUUCAGCCCGCUGCCUUGGCCCCUGUAAUUCUUCCAGAGAGUAGGACUGGGAGAACAAGGAGCCCAUUCUGUUCGCAGGAAUUAAUAGCAAGGAGUCAUCUGGGGUGUCAUUCAAGCCCUGAUCAGCUCCCGGAGGAAUGUGAGGGAGAGCGAGCGACGGAGCACGGCCCCAGGCCGAGGCACCAAAGCUAGGGCAGGCGCAUUUGGGCUGGUAACCAGAGCUACCAGCCGGCAUUUGAGUGGCAGGACCCCAACCUUUGCAUCCCCUCUGCCCCAUGAGCCCAUACACAAAUGGCUCCCACCAGCUCCUAAUUUGGGGACUGGUUUCCAGUUCUUUUGUCCCUUGUUCCCCAUCCAUUUCAUGAGAGGGAAGAUGUAUAGGCUCACCAGCACCAUUGUAUCCACUGCACCAAGCCAUCAGAAGGGAUGGGUUUUGUCUCUCUAAGCAAGCUUGGCCAGUCAGAGGGGCUCCAAGGAGCCCAUAAACACCUCUGGGGAUGUGGGUAGCUCAGCGGACUGUAGAAUCCGCUUUGCCACCACAUCAGUUCUCUCAAAGUGAGCGUGGUCACUGCAACAAAAGACCAAGCCUGCAAAUUAGCAUGUCCAUGUUUCAUUGUUUUGAUCUGCUGUCACAAAGACAGGCUUGAAAGCAUGACAUGGUGACAGUGCAAAAUUGCCUGUGAUAGAAACCUGCUUCCACAAGGCAAGGAGAUACUUUGGUCACCUAUAUCCUGGCCUGAGAAUGGAAUCUCAAAGUAGCCAACCUGACACCUCUCUGCCCAGCAGUGGCUGCAUUGCAAGUUCACACCUGCUGACAUAAGGUGUCUGAAGGGUCCAGAGAUGCACCCAGGCUGGCCCAGCAGGGCCACCAUAUGGCUGAUGGGGUCUGCGGGGCAAUCCUUCAGGCCAGUCCUAGAUGCACACAUAGCUGCAGGACUAAACAUGAGUUCAGCUCACCAGCACAGCACUGAGCACAGGUUGGGUAGAAGAUGACUCAUGUGAAAUGGGAACAGAGCUGUACUGGGGUGCUCAAGUUGCUUUUACUGACACAGAGCUGGUAGCCAAAAUGUAUCUCACUAAAACUUUCCUUCCUUCCUUCCCAUGUGCCUCAGGUUGCUGUGAAAAUGGAUUUAAGCACUAACACAGCAUCUAAGCAUCCCACAAGAGAUAUGCGGUGCCUCUGGGAAGGACUCCUCAGCCCCCUCUCCAUCCCCGUGCCACCAGUGCCACAAUAAGCAGCCCUUGUCGUAGAGGGGUUAAUAAAUGAUGCAAGAAAGGA
Non-coding RNA from Coturnix japonica (Japanese quail), 3989 nucleotides. The record is from RefSeq and is a predicted model, not a curated record. NCBI's taxonomy places the organism in Eukaryota, Metazoa, Chordata, Aves, Galliformes, Phasianidae.